UCGGGUCAUGUUUGAACCUAGUGUUAAAGUCAUGUUUGGAACAUAGAAUAUGAAAUGUGCUUAACUUAUAGCAAUGCUUAAGUGUCAUAAAGAGGCACUAAGCAAGGUGAGUGUUGGGACAUCACUUUGAGACAUAGAACUAGACCGUUGGGUUGCUAGUGGCUUUUACCAUGUUAGAGACAUGAUGAUUGGUUACUUGAGACGAUGACUUUGCUUGCUUGCCAUUUGUGCUCAUUCGCAUAUGCUUGUGAGGGUCGCUCCCUACAAGCCGGCACUCCGGAGUUGGCCUACGCGACUUAUGCUCGCCCGUGCGGUAUAGAGAAGCCUACGGGGUCGGGAGUGAUAGACUCAUUUCCAGAGUGAAAAUGCUGAAGCUACCACCGACACUUAGGCGGUGCUAGCCGGACUACAAUCGUGUAGGUCCUAAGACAAGAUUGAGCAUGGACAUAAACUCUUAAAUAUGAAUCACUACUACAUAAAUCAUAGUAGUUGGAUCACUUGGCAUAUUUAUAGUGUGGCUUUGAGAUUUCUGGACAUAUAGUAUACUUGAUAGAAUUGCUUUGCAUCUUAGUAUACUUGGCAGUUAUGAUGAACAUAUUCCCCUUGUAUUGGCAUAUUCACUCAUGAUAGUAUUGAUACACAUCAUGUUUACAUGUGGCGUAGUAGCAUAGCAUUUCAUACAUGCUUUCAAUUCAGCAGCUUGUUAUUGCUUAAUAUUAUCAUUACUUACUCCUUUUCUUUGGGCCUAGUGGUGCAUUGCGCUGAGGUCAGUAAUUGCCCACUGGAAACUAUAAAUUAUAGUUUUCACGCCCUCUGUUUCAUGUUUUUAUUUCAGAGCCUUCCACUCCGGGUGAGGCUAGGGACCGCGAAAAGGGAAUCGCCACGAGCUAGCUUGUGAGCGAGGGACGUUCGAUAGGUGGUCCACCUCUUCUUUGUUUUCUUUUUGGGAGAGGAUGAGAGUUGUACCUUGUAUAGAGACCACCCUUUUUGUAGUAUUUUUGUGAUGACUCUUGUACUGACUUUAUCUUUUCGUUUAGUAGUUUACUUUCCCCUUUCUCUACUUGUCGUUAGUUGUUAGCUGUUAGUAGCUUUGAUAUCUCUAGUGACUUUAUUUCUUCUUGCUUCUAUAUCUCUUUUGUUGUAGACGCCUUAUAUGUGCAGGCAUAUGGCGGGUCUGGGCACGCAUCGGGCGGGCCUAUGCCGGGUCCCGAGGCGUGAUAUUAAGUUGUCAAACAGAAACAAAACAAGAAACAUGAAAUAAGUUAUUGUGAAGGGAAACUUGAACUAAAAUAUUCAUGUAUUUUCAAUAGUCAACAUUAUGUUCUUAUAUAAACCACCAAACCCAUACAUAAGAGUGCUUUAUGAAGUGACCUUUCAAUUUAUAUAUAUUUUUUAGAUCAUAACUACCAAUUAGUUAUCGAUAUCUCUUUGAACGUUAACCGAUAUAUAGGAGUUAAAUUUAAAUAUUUAUAAUGUAAUAGUCAAUUUUGAUGGGCUCAUACUCAAAGGAACGCUAAUAAAAUGUUAGGCAUUACUUAAAAGUUAAUGGUUAACUACUGGUGACAUCAGUAUGAAAUCAUAAAUAUUUAAUUAUUAUUUUAUUUUUUUAUAUAAACAAUAUGUUUAUAUUAAUAUUUUAAUAUUAUGCUUAAUUAUAAAAUACUGAUUUUAGACCAAAUUAAGUAGAUAUAACUUUUUAAGAUUCACUUUUUAUAAGACUAAUAUGUGUUAGUAAAUAACAAAACUGAUUUUACGCCGUUGGAUUUUAAUAUGACUUUAUCAAAAAUAUCUGAUCGGUUUGAUUAAAAUCGGAUGUAACACACUGGACCUUCGCGAAUUGCAAGGUUGGAGCGUUUGAUAUGUGCUCCGAGCUCUUCCAUGCUUGGUGGAGGGUCGUAGACUGUAUUCUGUCCUAGUAGUUCGAAUUCUGAGUUUUGGCUACGUCCUGAGAGUUUAACUCUCGGGGAUUGGUCCCUGGUGGGAGAGACCAGUCCCUAGUAGCACGGGUUGCGGCAGUCGGCCGAGGCAACCGGUCCCCUGGCUAGGGAGACCGGUUCCCGAAUGCGCAGAUUGCGGGAGGGUCCUGAGGGACCGGUCCUUGGUGGGAGAGACCGGUCCCUCUGCCCGAAAUCAGCCCAGUCUGGACUAUGUGAGAGAGGUGAAGUGGAGGGGUUUUGCUGCAAUUGUUACAUCUCUUAGUGUAUGUAGAGGGGGCAGGGCUCUCUCCCUCUCUCAUUUCCCUCACUCCCUUUCCUUUCUUUCUUUCUUUUUCUCUCAAGAAGAAGAAAAAGAAGAAGAGGAAGAGGAUCAAGCUUGGAGGCCUUUGGACAUCUCCUUCUCCCUCUCUUCCCACCUUGCUGAUGCUUGAAGGCUUGGACUUGGGGCUUGUUGGAGAGGAGAUCAUCGCUCUUGGGGCUUGGUUUGGAGCUUCUUAAGAGGUUAGUUGCUCCCUUCUCCUCUCUAGACCUAGAUUUGGUGGUUUUUGGGAGAUAAAACCCUAGAAUGGAAAAUCUAGGGUUUAUUUGUGGCUUUUUGAUUUGAAGCUUUUAGAGCUAAUCUAAUUGGAUUAGAACCUUGGUUUAGGUUGCUUCGGAAGGGAUUUAGCUCCCAUUUGAGCUUUGUAGGGGGAUUUCUACACUAUAGGUGAGGCUUUGGCCUCUUUUGCCUAGAUGGUUAAUGUUUACUCUUGUGGUUGUUCGUUAGCUUCGUGUAGCUCAUUUUUUGAUGCUUCUAGGGUGCUAGGAGGCUAAUGGACACCCCCGUUGGAGCAAACGAAGGGUUGCGUAAGUUUCGGUGGGUUUGACCUAGCCAAAAAUAGGAAAAAUUUUCAUUAUUGGUGAUUUAUGUAUCGUAAAGUGAAAAAUCAUGCAUUUUCAUGCUAGAUGUAUUUAUUAUGAAUUUUAAAAUGCUUAACAUGCCUAUGUUAUGUAUAAUGAAUUUUCGGACCUCUAUGUAGUAGAGAGCUUGUACGUGGGACUUGUGCAUGAGUCUUGGCAUUCUACUUGAGACUUGGAACCUUGUUCCCUUAGCGAAAACGGAAAUUGCAUCACGCCCUUGAACAUUAUGAAAUGAGAUAUGAGCGAUUACCUUAAGCCAUAGAGAGGCUUGGGACUGGUACUAUUUGUGAACGAUUGAGCUAAUGUCAUAAAGGGGCAUUGAGCUCGGGCUAUGAAUGAACCUCGUAUUAAAGCCAUAAAGUGUCCUAGAAUGUGAAAUGUACUUGGGUUAUAGAAAUGUUUAAGUGUCAUAAAGAGGCACUAAGCACAGUGUAUGUUGGAAUUUCGCUCGAGACAUAGAACUGGAUCGUUGGGUGGCUAGUGACUAAUGCCAUGGUAGAGACAUGACGAUUGGGUACUUGAGCUAUUGAUUUUGCUUGCUUGUCAUUUGUGCUCAUUCGCACAUGCUUGUGAGGGUCGCUCCCUACAAGCCGGCACUCCGGAGUUGGCCUACGUGACUUAUGCUCGCUUGUGCGGUAUCGAGGAACCUACGGGGUCGGGAGGGAUAAACUCAUUUCCAAAGUGGGAAUGCUGGAGCUACCAUCGACACUUAGGCGGC
Molecule: long non-coding RNA, 3555 nt
Filed under: Ananas comosus (pineapple)
Lineage: Eukaryota; Viridiplantae; Streptophyta; Magnoliopsida; Poales; Bromeliaceae
Description: long non-coding RNA (ACOM_LNC027785)
Source: RNAcentral